UAUGAUAUGAUCCCAAGACACAGAGACUAUAGAAAUGUUACCUAGAUGGAUUGAUUUGAAUCGUUUUCUGAAAAUACAUACACCAAAUAUAUAUACUUACAAGGUUAAGAAAAAAUAUAUAUAUAUAUAUAUAUAUAUAUAUUUGAGGUGCAAGUGUUGAAGUUACUAUUAAUUUAUCCACCACCCACUAAAUUCAAAAUAAUAGUACAAAAAAGAUUUGAGUAAUAACAAAAUACAAAGCAUUCUGAUGAAGAAAUUAAAGAUGGUUGUUAGAAAAAAAGAAAACGUGACACAGAUUGCAGAGGCAUAAAUCUGUACUACACUGAACUUAUGAACAUUUUCAUGGCGUGAAACUACUACUCUCAAAUCAUCAAUUGUGACCAAAAGAAUUUACAGUUNNNN
Molecule: long non-coding RNA, 402 nt
Filed under: Carica papaya (papaya)
Lineage: Eukaryota; Viridiplantae; Streptophyta; Magnoliopsida; Brassicales; Caricaceae
Description: long non-coding RNA (CPAP_LNC007249)
Source: RNAcentral